This 3137-nucleotide long non-coding RNA is filed under the name Sus scrofa (pig). Its description in RNAcentral is "lncRNA (ENSSSCG00015054868.1)". The record is from RNAcentral. Lineage: Eukaryota; Metazoa; Chordata; Mammalia; Artiodactyla; Suidae.
GGAUCUGGAACAUCGGAUUACUCAUCUGGUGGCAGGUGGGUGUCGGAGCUGGCUGUGGACCCCACCGUCUGUAGCCAGUCCGCAGCAGCUUUCCUCUCUGGCAAACUCACAGCAAGCAUGCAGGGUGAUAAAACGGCAGUGACAAAUCCAGUGCAAUCAGGUGGGAAAUCCCCCCUGAGUAAUAACACCUCCUCAUCGCUCAUCCCGACCUCUUCCCCUGAGCCCCGCGUCUGCCGCUGAGAACUCAGCGCUGUUUUACCUUCAGCCCUGAGCUCCGCACAGGAAAAAGAAGAGAAAAGUGAGACACGGGAGUCUGGAGGAUCUCAAUCAAUGGUCAGAAAGGAGUACCCAGAAUGUCUACUGAUUGCCUCACUCCACGCAGAAUAUGCAACAUUCAUCCUUUCUCUAUCGCACCCUCCCUGCAUCUCCCAUCAUUCUUGACUCAGAGAAGAAGGCGUCAAGCAUUCUUUCAAGUACCUUCCCCAGGGUUGUCAUCAACUUAACUCCUCUUCAGUUUCCACUGCUACUAGUAAAGUAAUCAUGAUUUACGAAGAAUCCAUUAUGGAAAAAUUUUGCAUCUAUUAAUUAUCUGACUUAAUCUUUACCAGAUCGUUAUUAAGCAAGAAUUACUAUUACCCUGAUUUUCACAGAUGAGGAAAUUGAGGAUAAGGAAAUUUAGGAACCUGCCUAGAGUUACACAACAAGGAAGUUGCAGAGGGGAGGGUUUUUGCCAAGGUUUCUAUGAUUCCAAUGUUAUCACUUUUCUAAUGCAUCUGCUGACCGAGACUGAAGAAUCAACUACCUCCUCCAGGUAGGUGGUGCCUGGAUCUGUGUCCUCCUCCUUCAGGUAUCUCUCUUCUGUGGUCCUAUUGCCACUCUCUUGAUUCAGUUGGUCAUCAUCUUUCACCAGAACCAUGACCUUUGCAUCCCCCAGUCCAUCCUUCACAUUCCACUAGAAUCAUCUUUCUAAACAGAAGUUCCUAUUCUCAUAUUCCCCUUUCCAACUAUUUUCAUGGAUCUCAAGUAUUAGUGAAAUGAGAAAAAUGUCCAUCUAUCUUGGCAUUCCAGUUCUGCUCCUACUACAUUCAUACAACUUCUGGCAUAUUAUUUAAGCGCCGAGAAACACAGUUUUCUCUCAUUGAAAAUGGACACUGUAAUCCCUAUUUAACUGCAAGGAGUAAAUAAAAUCACAUAUGAUGAUUGCCUAAUAAAAUGGCUGUCCCCCAGAAAUGCCUUAAUGAAUUGUGUUUCUUCUAGAAGGUCAGUCACCCAAGAAAUCUCUGGGACUGAGGAGAACGGGGGAACAGGAGACAGAUCGGAGAGGCUGGGACAUGGAGAUUUGCUUCAUAUGCAAAGAACUCAUCUCCUAGAAUUUUGCAGCAUCUUCCAGAGUCUAAGCUUGUGUUUUGACGUGCCCUUUCCAAGACAAGGGGAUACGUGAAGCUCAGUGAAUCAGGAGCGUUUACGGAGGAGAAAGAAAAUAAGAUCUUCUCCCCAGCUAAAAAUCCAGGCAUUGUCCUUGGCUGGAAAACCUCUCUUGGAUUGUAUGGACAGACUGAAAAUACAUCUUAGCAUCCAAACAUAGACAGCCAGGGCAUGGACUCAGGCUUGAUGCCCAAAGAGAUCCUCAUCAUCAUACCUUAGAAGUACCACAUCCUUUGUUCCUCCUGGCUAAACCCCUUCAGCCAACAUCCCUGCCUGCAGGGUAAGCAAUUUACUUACAGUUAAACUGCUAAUAAGUAGGGAAUCAUGGAUCAAUCAGAAACACUAAAUAUUUCAAAAUAUUUAGGGUCAAUAUUUCAAAAAACAUUGCAACAUUGGUACAUUUACCUGCUACAAGUUUGCAUGGGCAGGAACCAUAUCAAGUCCAUUAAAAUUCCUGAUUUCCUUAUGUCUAGCAAAAUCUUUGAUCACUAGUUAUGUAUAUUUCAGUUAAUAAAAAUGAAGAGCAUGAGUACUCUUCCAUAAGAAAUGCAGCGUGUUGGGAUAUACAGAAUUUUGCAAAACAGAGUAGAAUGGGGAUGGUUAUCAUAACACAGUGGGCCCAUCAGUGUAGUGGAGUUCAACAUUUUUGAUUCCUUCCAAAUUUCCAGAUUUCAUCUUUGAUGUUGGGAAUGUAAAGACUGAUAUAGCACAAUCAUGGUCCUCCAGAAAUGUAUCAGAUUGUUGGGGAAACAAAUAGAUGCAGAAAUAGUUAUCUGCGUGAUACAGCAAAUACAAACAUGUGCAAGAUGCUCCAAGGAUGUAGAAAGAGAAGCCCUGGUUGGGCUUGUGUGGAGGAGAUGUGGGAAAGGGGGCUUUCUCAAGGAAGCGAUGUCUGAACUCAGACUUGAAGGAACAGCAGAGCUUACCCUCCCCACAGGAGGUUGUACUGUACAGCAUGAGCAAAGAAAGGAGGAAGGUGUAAAGACAUUACCUUUGGUGCAAAGAUUGGCAUAGCUGUCCCACAACCUAUUUGAAUUAACAUUUGUCAAUGAGACACCAACAUCAAAUGCUAUCACUGACAUGUGGAAUCUAAAAAAAGAACACAAUGAACUUCUUUGCAGAACAGAUACUGACUCACAGACUUUGAAAAACUUACGGUUUCCAAAUGAGACCGGUUAGCGGGUGGGGGGAUGCACUGAGGGUUUGGGAUGGAAAUGCUGUAAAAUUUGGUUGUGAUGAUUGUUGUACACCUAUAAAUGUAAUAAAAUUCAUUAAGUAAUAAAAAAGGAGAAAAAAAACUUUACAAUGAUAUAUAAAAAAUAAUAAUGUUUAUCAUGGUAGGUCUCCAUGCAUUAAGAAUUUACUGAGAGGCUAUUCUAUGCCAAGCCUAACAGUGGGCACCCAGGGUGGAUAGCUCAAAUGUCAUGUCUCCAAAAAUCCACAUUUCAGGAGAGAAAACGAUGCAACACUGUGCAAUGAGCUUGAAAGACCUCACCCAUAAUACAUGCUGGACCAGGAGCUUUAUUUGGUAGAAAUGCUUUGAGAAUAUUUUUUUUGUUUUUAUCUUGCCACUGGAUGUGUCCAUUCUGUUUAGUAAUUCUUCAGUCAAUAAUAACCAUUCAUAUCACCUCCCCUAAUUGCCAUUUUUAUAAGAUUUUUUAAAAUUUAUUAAGAAAAAAAUGUGUAUAAUAUUCUCUCUCAAAAAAAAAAAA